Molecule: long non-coding RNA, 1487 nt
Organism: Peromyscus maniculatus bairdii (prairie deer mouse)
Lineage: Eukaryota; Metazoa; Chordata; Mammalia; Rodentia; Cricetidae
Source: RefSeq, a predicted model, not a curated record
CUUCACGGUCCGCGGGAGGCGGAACGAUACUCUCUGAGCUUCGGAAAGUGUCCAUCCGGAACCAAUCCCUAGCGUCUCCGACUCGACUAGCUUGCUCCGGGGUGGGCGGAGUUAGAGCGCGGAACUUCUCUUGUCCAAUCCCAAGGGUUACCGCACCGGCGUGGCCCGCCCCCUCAUUCUGCUCUUCCGGUAGACACACCCCGCAGAGAGCAGCGCCGCCAACGGCCGAACGGUGGCGCGCGACUCUCACUGAGCGCGGAAAGAACGGUCCUCGCGCUCGCCGUGAUUGACUAGCGAUCACGGGGCGGGGCUUAAGCGGGCCUCUGGGAUGUGAUUGGCUAAUGUCGUGGCUGGCACUAGGAAGGCUGGGCUGGCUGGAGAGCUCUGGAAACCGCACAGGGAAAAACCUUAGAGGGGGAGAGAGCCGUGUCAGCGGCUCGGGCUGCUAAGGCGUCUGUCAGCUGGUGAGCGCUUCCGGGAGCUACUCUGAGGGAUUCCUGGCUUUGAGGACAGCGGUCGAAGAGACUGUGGCGAGUGUUGUCAACAUUUGGAUCACCCCUGAGACAAGAUGGCGCGGCGGUGAGAGGGAUACAGGAUCGAGUCCAGGUCGGCAAGGACCAGGGUUUGAAUCCCGUCUCUACACGUUUUCCAGAGUUGAAAAAAAUCACUGCCAUGGCCGGCCGUGGAGGCGCACUCUGGAGGCAGAGGCAGGCAGAUCUCUGAGCUGGAGGACAGCCAGGGCUACACAGAGAAACCCUGUCUCAAAAAAACAAAACAAAAAUAUUAACUACCACCAUUUAUGACGAUAUACACAAUUGAAACUUACCUUUUGCUAUCAUAUCUUUUAAAGGAAAAAAGAAGAAAAAAAAAACACGAACAAACAAACAAAAAACCGGCCUGGAAUGGAAGUGUACCAUUACACUGUGAGUCUGGGGAAGUAAAUGAAUAGAUAAAUUAGUUUUCACACUUGACCAGUGCAAAAAGGUCAAGAAGCAAUGAAAUUGACUUUAGUAGUACAUUUAACUCAAUAAACAAGAAUGUGAAUUUCAAAUACGAUCAGUACAAAAGUAUUAAUGAGCUGCCUUGCAUCCUUUUAUUCAUUGAGAAGUCUUCGGGAUCCUGUGUGUGUUUCACAUUCAAACACAUUUGUAACCUGGCAAGGGAAUCUUCACUUUGAUUUGAAAGAGGAUCCCCUAAAGAUGCCAUCACCCCCAGACAGCAGGAGGCUUCAUCUCUGCUCUGGCUAAAGAAGGUCUCACCUUGGGUAAUGCCUGGGGGACACUCACCAACCUAAGACAGAGCACCUGUGUGGCCUGGGCAGGCGUCUCCAUGACGGGUAAGGUGACCUGCUGACAUCCCACGCAACCUAAGUCAGAAGCUCAUUUUUUAGUAACAGGGGGACCUGUAGCUUCCUGGCCCCCUGUUUUGGGUAACUGUUGCCUUGCUUGCUGACCUUGACCUUGAUAUCCUCCCUAUACUAAUUCCCU